GCGCAGUAAAGCUCCUCUCCUCUGAAAAAGAGAAAAAAUAAAGAGGGAGCAGCGAAUAAACCACUUCCAAAAAAGGAAAGAAAGGAUUUGCCUACAGCUCAGAAGUGGGAGGCACGCCCCGCUCGAUGAUGCCUGGAAACCGGAUCUCGCCUUUUCGCAGCAUGCCGACUUAUUUACCCCUCCCAAUGCCGACCUUUUUACCGUGAUCUUUUUACCGGUUCGUCGAACCCACCGAGCUCUCAUUCAACGGGGCCGUUCUUUUGGUGACCGAUUGGUGGAUGGUGCACCACGCCGGGCAGCCAUUCCCUCCUGCCCGUUCCCACUGCCCUUGCCCG
RNAcentral lists this long non-coding RNA (335 nucleotides) under Physcomitrium patens. Its description in RNAcentral is "long non-coding RNA (PPAT_LNC008873)". Lineage: Eukaryota; Viridiplantae; Streptophyta; Bryopsida; Funariales; Funariaceae. The record is from RNAcentral.